RNAcentral lists this ribosomal RNA (497 nucleotides) under uncultured bacterium. Its description in RNAcentral is "partial 16S ribosomal RNA". It matches the Rfam family "Bacterial small subunit ribosomal RNA", at positions 28 to 507 of the family's 1533-position model. The record is from RNAcentral.
GACGAACGCUGGCGGCGUGCCUAAUACAUGCAAGUUGAGCGAUGAAGAUUGGUGCUUGCACUAAUUUGAAGAGCAGCGAACGGGUGAGUAACGCGUGGGGAAUCUGCCUUUGAGCGGGGGACAACAUUUGGAAACGAAUGCUAAUACCGCAUAACAACUUUAAACAUAAGUUUUAAGUUUGAAAGAUGCAAUUGCAUCACUCAAAGAUGAUCCCGCGUUGUAUUAGCUAGUUGGUGAGGUAAAGGCUCACCAAGGCGAUGAUACAUAGCCGACCUGGGAGGGUGAACGGCCACAUUGGGACUGGGACACGGCCCAAACUCCUACGGGAGGCAGCAGUAGGGAAUCUUCGGCAAUGGACGAAAGUCUGACCGAGCAACGCCGCGUGAGUGAAGAAGGUUUUCGGAUCGUAAAACUCUGUUGGUAGAGAAGAACGUUGGUGGGAGUGGAAAGCUCAUCAAGUGACGGUAACUACCCAGAAAGGGACGGCUAACUACGUG